UACGUAGGGGGCAAGCGUUGUCCGGGUUUAUUGGGCGUAAAGAGCGUGUAGGCGGCCAGGUAGGUGGGUUGUGAAAACUGGAGGCUCAACCUUCAGACGUCGACCCAAACCCCCUGGCUAGAGUCCGGAAGAGGAGAGUGGAAUUCCUGGUGUAGCGGUGAAAUGCGCAGAUAUCAGGAAGAACACCCGUGGCGAAGGCGGCUCUCUGGGACGGUACUGACGCUGAGACGCGAAAGCGUGGGGAGCGAACAGG
RNAcentral lists this ribosomal RNA (253 nucleotides) under uncultured bacterium. RNAcentral's name for it is "partial 16S ribosomal RNA". It matches the Rfam family "Bacterial small subunit ribosomal RNA", at positions 524 to 776 of the family's 1533-position model. The record is from RNAcentral.